This 207-nucleotide ribosomal RNA is filed under the name uncultured bacterium. RNAcentral describes it as "partial 16S ribosomal RNA". It matches the Rfam family "Bacterial small subunit ribosomal RNA", at positions 568 to 774 of the family's 1533-position model. The record is from RNAcentral.
CGCGUAGGCGGGCUCUCAAGUCUGGGGUGAAAUCUUUCGGCUUAACCGGAAAAUUGCCUUGGAUACUGGGAGUCUCGAGGGAGGUAGGGGCAUGUGGAACUUCCGGUGGAGCGGUGAAAUGCGUUGAUAUCGGAAGGAACGCCGGUGGCGAAAGCGACGUGCUGGACCUCUUCUGACGCUGAGGCGCGAAAGCUAGGGGAGCGAAGG